CGUUCUAGGAUUGACGUAAUGAUUAAUAGGGAUAGUCGGGGGCAUUGUAUUCAAUUGUCAGAGGUGAAAUUCUUGGAUUUAUGAAGACAACUACUGCGAAAGCAUUUGCCAAGGAUGUUUUCAUUAAUCAAGAACGAAAGUUAGGGGAUCGAAGACGAUCAGAUACCGUCGUAGUCUUAACCAUAAACUAUGCCGACUAGGGAUCGGACGAUGUUAAUUUUUAAUGACUCG
Molecule: ribosomal RNA, 231 nt
Filed under: uncultured Glomeromycotina
Lineage: Eukaryota; Fungi; Glomeromycota
Description: partial small subunit ribosomal RNA
Rfam family: Eukaryotic small subunit ribosomal RNA
Source: RNAcentral